Non-coding RNA from Caldivirga sp. CIS_19, 88 nucleotides. The record is from Rfam. Lineage: Archaea; Thermoproteati; Thermoproteota; Thermoprotei; Thermoproteales; Thermoproteaceae.
GGGCCCGUAGCUCAGCACGGUAGAGCGGCGGGCUCCAGGCUGUGAUGGAGAAACCCGUAGGUCGGGGGUUCAAAUCCCUCCGGGCCCA